RNAcentral lists this ribosomal RNA (254 nucleotides) under uncultured bacterium. RNAcentral describes it as "partial 16S ribosomal RNA". It matches the Rfam family "Bacterial small subunit ribosomal RNA", at positions 524 to 776 of the family's 1533-position model. The record is from RNAcentral.
UACGUAGGGGGCUAGCGUUAUCCAGAAUUACUGGGCGUAAAGCGCGUGUAGGCGGCUGGUUAAGUGUGAUGUGAAAUCCUCGGGCUCAACCCGAGAACUGCAUUGCAAACUGGCCUGGCUAGAGUGCAGGAGAGGGAAGCGGAAUUCCAGGUGUAGCGGUGAUAUGCGUAGAUAUCGGGAGGAACACCUGUGGCGAAGGCGGCUUUCUGGGCCUUACCUGACGCUGAGACGCGAAAGCGUGGGGAGCGAACCGG